RNAcentral lists this long non-coding RNA (1661 nucleotides) under Salmo salar (Atlantic salmon). Its description in RNAcentral is "lncRNA (ENSSSAG00000090523.1)". Lineage: Eukaryota; Metazoa; Chordata; Actinopteri; Salmoniformes; Salmonidae. The record is from RNAcentral.
AAACACACAACCAUUUGCACCUGCAAACUUCCUCAGAGCAAACGGCAACGGGGAAGUGACUAACAUUGCGGUAUAUGUUUGGAGAUUCCAAUAAUCUGUCUGUCACCUCCCAGUACAGUAGAGUCAUGGGAUAGGGUGGGUUAUUAUAUAACAAUAGUCAGAACCAAGAACAUUUUUAGGGCUGGGAACCUCCUCUAACUGAUACUACAAAACGGUAUUACUCAAGUGGACGAGCAGCAUCUGUGGCUCUACAUCACCCGCAGGAACUAUCCACCAACCUGAGACUAGAAGAGGUCUGUGUAUCCGAAACAGACGGAAUUCCAUACAUCUGGACAGAGACAGAUUGACAGAAGUGGACACUGUAUAAACCCUGAGUAAUCUGCUAACAGGCUGAUCGGUCAACAUGUGGGACAUGCUGGGCUAUAAAACUGGACAGAAAGUGAUCUUCAGACACCUGACAGCAUCAGCAGAUAAACAUUUCAGAAGAAUCCUUCGAUUUACUUGCAAAUGCGAACGUGAGUGUAAACUCCGGGGUCAUUUCUGCGCGGCACUGUUCAAAUUCCUCUUCAAGGCGGCUGCUACAGGGUUACUCUGGGUUGCCUCUGUUCUCAUCAAUGGGUUCUGGUACACGUGCUGCCUAAAUUACAGCUCUAGAGCACUUGCCUGCAAGAAAAGCAGUGAGCUCAAUUUGACAGAAAAAGCAACCAUAGCUAACCUAAAAAAUGAUUCAGAGGUAUAUGGCUUGCUGGUGGUGCUCGGUAUUGUAGGGCUGUUGACCCUGUCUGUAUUGCCUUGGAAUGAGUUCUGCUGUAGAAAGUCUUCUCACAGGACUCAGUUUGAGAAGAAUGUUUUGGAACAGGCAGAGAUUCAUAUGGAAGAUAAACUAGAGAGAAUAGCUAAGGCGUAUGUGGUUCAAGGCGCAAUAAGUGAUCUAGAGACAAUUUCUGAAGUAACAUAUGAAGAUGUGACGAAACAAAUUGUGGUGGUCAAUAUUAAAAAAGAUUGGGACAAAAUAUCAGACUUCUCUUUGCAUCUGAUCAACUCUUUAUCUGAUGAAAGUACUGGGGAAACAACAAGUGAAGUCUUGACUAUCAACUAAUAACAUUGGUCAAUCAAGAACUUUGAGCCUCUGGGACUCUCUGGGCAUCUCAAAUUAAACAGAACAUUUACACCUAGUAAACAGUAGAUACAGUAUUUAUACACCUCUUUAGUCCCUAUGGAGAAUGAUGCUGCAUAUCGGUAGCCUAUACAUGUCCUGUAACCUAGAAUGCAUUGACCUAACAUAUGUGUAUUUUGAUUGUCUUUAGAUUUUCUUUUUCGGUUUGUGUUUAAAGGGGGCUUUAUCAUGUUAACUUUAUAUGCAGACUCUGAUAUUUUGUCAUUUUACCAUUUAUUUAUUUUACAUGGAAUGGUAACAUUUGUCAUUGAAAUGUUGUUGUGAUGCAAUGUACAGAUGAUAUAGUGUCUUUAUAGAUAGUGUGCUGUAUGAAAGCCUUUAUGUAAAUAUUCAAAUUAAGUCUUAACAUUGUAUAAUAAAAAAAGGACAAAUAAAACAGAAUAUGUAGAUAAUGUGCUGAAAUAUACUGUAUAUACAUUUUCAAAUUAAAAUUGUGUAUUUGAACAAGUAAAUCUUAUUUUAAAAUAAAAAAAUGAAGAUUUUU